ACAUGUACGGAAUUAGCCAGAGAUGGCUUAGUGCUCGAAAGAGAACCGUAACACAGGUGCUGCAUGGCUGUCGUCAGCUCGUGUCGUGAGAUGUUGGGUUAAGUCCCGCAACGAGCGCAACCCUUGUCAUUAGUUGCUACAUUUAGUUGGGCACUCUAAUGAGACUGCCGGUGACAAACCGGAGGAAGGUGGGGAUGACGUCAAGUCCUCAUGGCCCUUAUAGGUAGGGCUACACACGUCAUACAAUGGAUGGUACAAAGGGUCGCCAACCCGCGAGGGGGAGCCAAUCCCAUAAAACCAUUCGUAGUCCGGAUCGCAGUCUGCAACUCGACUGCGUGAAGUCGGAAUCGCUAGUAAUCGCAGAUCAGCAGGCUGCGGUGAAUACGUUCCCGGGCCUU
Molecule: ribosomal RNA, 398 nt
Filed under: uncultured Polaromonas sp.
Lineage: Bacteria; Pseudomonadati; Pseudomonadota; Betaproteobacteria; Burkholderiales; Comamonadaceae
Description: bacterial SSU rRNA
Rfam family: Bacterial small subunit ribosomal RNA
Source: RNAcentral